RNAcentral lists this ribosomal RNA (253 nucleotides) under uncultured bacterium. RNAcentral's name for it is "partial 16S ribosomal RNA". It matches the Rfam family "Bacterial small subunit ribosomal RNA", at positions 524 to 776 of the family's 1533-position model. The record is from RNAcentral.
UACAGAGGGGGCAAGCGUUGUUCGGAAUUACUGGGCGUAAAGGGCGCGUAGGCGGCCUUCUAAGUCGAACGUGAAAUCCCCGGGCUCAACCCGGGAACUGCGUCCGAUACUGGAAGGCUUGAAUCCGGGAGAGGGAUGCGGAAUUCCAGGUGUAGCGGUGAAAUGCGUAGAGAUGUGGAGGAACACCGAUGGCGAAGGCAGCCCCCUGGGUCAAGAUUGACGCUCAUGCACGAAAGCGUGGGGAGCAAACAGG